This 738-nucleotide ribosomal RNA is filed under the name uncultured Atopobium sp. RNAcentral describes it as "bacterial SSU rRNA". It matches the Rfam family "Bacterial small subunit ribosomal RNA", at positions 28 to 776 of the family's 1533-position model. The record is from RNAcentral. Lineage: Bacteria; Bacillati; Actinomycetota; Coriobacteriia; Coriobacteriales; Atopobiaceae.
GNUGAACGCUGNCGGCGCGCCUAACACAUGCAAGUCGAAUGGUUAAAGCACCUUUUUAGGUGUGUAUAAAGUGGCGAACGGCUGAGUAACACGUGGGCAACCUGCCCUCCUCUUGGGGAUAGCCUCGGGAAACCGAGGAUAAUACCCGAUACUUCAAUGUGGCCGCAUGACGACAUUGAGAAAGCUUUUGCGGAGAAGGAUGGGCCCGCGGCCUGUUAGCUUGUUGGUGGGGUAGAGGCCUACCAAGGCAAUGAUGGGUAGCUGGGUUGAGAGACCGACCAGCCAGAUUGGGACUGAGACACGGCCCAGACUCCUACGGGAGGCAGCAGUGGGGAAUCUUGCACAAUGGGCGAAAGCCUGAUGCAGCGACGCCGCGUGCGGGAAGAAGGCCUUCGGGUUGUAAACCGCUUUCAGCAGGGACGAGGCGAUAAGUGACGGUACCUGCAGAAGAAGCCCCGGCUAACUACGUGCCAGCAGCCGCGGUAAUACGUAGGGGGCAAGCGUUAUCCGGAUUCAUUGGGCGUAAAGCGCUCGUAGGCGGUCUGUUAGGUCGGGAGUUAAAUCCGGAGGCUCAACCUCCGCCCGCUCCCGAUACCGGCAGACUUGAGUUUGGUAGGGGAAGGUGGAAUUCCUAGUGUAGCGGUGGAAUGCGCAGAUAUUAGGAAGAACACCAGUGGCGAAGGCGGCCUUCUGGGCCAUAACUGACGCUGAGGAGCGAAAGCUAGGGGAGCAAACAGG